RNAcentral lists this ribosomal RNA (254 nucleotides) under uncultured prokaryote. RNAcentral's name for it is "partial 16S ribosomal RNA". It matches the Rfam family "Bacterial small subunit ribosomal RNA", at positions 525 to 777 of the family's 1533-position model. The record is from RNAcentral.
ACGGGGGGAGCAAGCGUUGUUCGGAUUUACUGGGCGUAAAGGGCGCGUAGGCGGCCAGCGCAAGUCGGUUGUGAAAUCUCCGGGCUUAACUCGGAAAGGUCAACUGAUACUGCGCGGCUAGAGUGCGGAAGGGGCAACUGGAAUUCUCGGUGUAGCGGUGAAAUGCGUAGAUAUCGAGAGGAACACCUGCGGCGAAGGCGAGUUGCUGGGCCGACACUGACGCUGAGGCGCGAAAGCUAGGGUAGCAAACGGGA